GCCCUCGUAGCUCAGUGGAUCAGAGCAGGAGCCUUCUAAUCUCUUGGUCGCAGGUUCGAAUCCUGCCGGGGGCGCCA
RNAcentral lists this transfer RNA (77 nucleotides) under Auraticoccus cholistanensis. RNAcentral's name for it is "Auraticoccus sp. F435 tRNA-Arg". It matches the Rfam family "tRNA". From Rfam's summary of the family: Transfer RNA (tRNA) molecules are approximately 80 nucleotides in length. Their secondary structure includes four short double-helical elements and three loops (D, anti-codon, and T loops). Lineage: Bacteria; Bacillati; Actinomycetota; Actinomycetes; Propionibacteriales; Propionibacteriaceae. The record is from RNAcentral.